UACGUAGGGGGCAAGCGUUAUUCGGAUUCACUGGGCGUAAAGGGUGCGCAGGCGGCCAAGUGUGUGAGGCGUGAAAGCCCGGGGCUUAACCCCGGAAUUGCACCUCAAACUACAUGGCUAGAGCAUUGGAGAGGGUAGCAGAAUUCAUGGUGUAGCAGUGAAAUGCGUAGAUAUCAUGAGGAAUACCAGAGGCGAAGGCGGCUACCUGGACAAUUGCUGACGCUCAGGCACGAAAGCGUGGGGAGCAAAAGGG
Molecule: ribosomal RNA, 253 nt
Filed under: uncultured bacterium
Lineage: Bacteria
Description: partial 16S ribosomal RNA
Rfam family: Bacterial small subunit ribosomal RNA
Source: RNAcentral